CCCUUAGAUGUCCGGGGCCGCACGCGCGCUACACUGAAGGAAUCAGCGUGGCUUUCUCCCUGACCCGAAAGGGUUGGGAAACCCGUUGAAUCUCCUUCGUGAUAGGGAUUGGGGCUUGAAAUUGUUCCCCAUGAACGAGGAAUUCCCAGUAAGCGCGAAUCAUAAGCUCGCGUUGAUUACGUCCCUGCCCUUUGUACACACCGCCCGUCGCUACUACCGAUUGAACGGUUUAGUGAGGGCCUCGGAUUGGUCUCGGCCCGCUCUUUACCGGGCGGCGCCGUUGGUCGAGAAGACGCUCGAACUUGAUCGUUUAGAGGAAGUAAAAGUCGUAACA
This 334-nucleotide ribosomal RNA is filed under the name uncultured eukaryote. RNAcentral describes it as "partial 18S ribosomal RNA". It matches the Rfam family "Eukaryotic small subunit ribosomal RNA", at positions 1470 to 1796 of the family's 1831-position model. The record is from RNAcentral.